UACGUAGGGGGCAAGCGUUGUCCGGAUUUAUUGGGCGUAAAGAGCGUGUAGGCGGCCUGAAAGGUCAGCUGUGAAAACUCGAGGCUCAACCUCGAGACGUCGGUUGAAACCGUAAGGCUAGAGUCCGGAAGAGGAGAGUGGAAUUCCCGGUGUAGCGGUGAAAUGCGCAGAUAUCGGGAAGAACACCCGUGGCGAAGGCGGCUCUCUGGGACGGUACUGACGCUGAGACGCGAAAGCGUGGGGAGCGAACAGG
Molecule: ribosomal RNA, 253 nt
Filed under: uncultured bacterium
Lineage: Bacteria
Description: partial 16S ribosomal RNA
Rfam family: Bacterial small subunit ribosomal RNA
Source: RNAcentral